GCGGCGGACGGGUGAGUAAUACUUAGGAAUCUGCCCAGUAGUGGGGGAUAGCACGGGGAAACUCGUAUUAAUACCGCAUACACCCUACGGGGAAAAGGGGGCGCUUGCGCUCUCGCUAUUGGAUGAGCCUAAGUCGGAUUAGCUAGUUGGUGGGGUAAAGGCCUACCAAGGCGACGAUCUGUAGCUGGUCUGAGAGGAUGAUCAGCCACACCGGGACUGAGACACGGCCCGGACUCC
RNAcentral lists this ribosomal RNA (237 nucleotides) under uncultured Gammaproteobacteria bacterium. RNAcentral describes it as "partial 16S ribosomal RNA". It matches the Rfam family "Bacterial small subunit ribosomal RNA", at positions 95 to 339 of the family's 1533-position model. Lineage: Bacteria; Pseudomonadati; Pseudomonadota; Gammaproteobacteria. The record is from RNAcentral.